Molecule: non-coding RNA, 2426 nt
Organism: Triticum urartu
Lineage: Eukaryota; Viridiplantae; Streptophyta; Magnoliopsida; Poales; Poaceae
Source: RefSeq, a predicted model, not a curated record
UUUCUCUAAAAGAACAAUUUCAUACACAAUAUGUACACAAAAGGAAAACCAAAAAACUCCAGUUCAUGACAAGUAUAUAGUUUGGUAGAUAGAAAGACUCUUAUGACAUGGAUCAUAAAAUAAUUUGUGGAAAUAUAUGUAUGUUUGUCCUUAAGUAGGUUAAACGUCUUUGCUCGGAGAAAAUUAGAAGUACAUAAGAAAAAUUUCAAGGGUUCUACAUUCAACGGCUGCAAAAACUUCAGGUAGUACAUGAUAUACAUGGCAUAAGUUUCUUUCAGAUUUAUCACAUACCCAUAAAUGCAAGCCAACCCAAACAGUGCCUUGCAUGCAUAUACUGCAAGAGAGCAUUAACCAUGUGAGCGCAUAUAAAUCAAGCUUGCCCGAACAAAACAGAAGGAAAUCACUCGUAGAGAAAUCAGAUAACCAUAUGAAGUUAUUAACUUCCACCUUCUCAUCAUUCAAAUGCACCCUCUAGGAGCAGCAGUGGAUAAACUGAAUCGUUGCACGCUAGUAACUAAAAUAACCCCACAAACUACAAUAAAAAACUGAAUCCAUGAUAAGAAAAAUCUAAACUGAAUACCUUGUAGACCAUGCCACAUAUGCUCAAAAUAGAUAAACGGAUCAACGUGACAGUAGGUUAAUAUAUUAGGGCAAAAAUGAAGUGGGUAUAUGGGGUAGAGCAAUCAACGUGCUGGGUCAAUAACUGCAGGGAGUCAAUCGCGGAGGAGGCGGCUGACCGGUGAACAUUUAUGAUAUUUUCUAGGCCACAAAAAGUGUCUGGGACCAAUUAAGUCAUUCCCAAAAACAAAUAUGAGGCGAACCUGAUGGAUCAUCACCCCAAUUUUUGCCACCACGUUGUAUGUGAUCCCCUAAUUCGAGUGUGGUGGAUUGGUGCAGACAUUCCUCCAAGCCAACAAAAACUGCAUUCAGUUUCAGUAAGGAGAUACAUGAUUAAAGGAGUAUCAAACACCCACCUCUAUGUUUCAAGUAGAGGAAACAAUUCCUUGGAGCUAGUGGUGCGUAAAAAAUAUUUUCUAUAUAUUAUAACUUGUACAUGAUGUUUCCUGUCUCCAAACAUUUAUUGGCAUGAUCAACAUAGCAUAGCUAUCAAGGAUCAAGUAUUUGCAAUGUAAGCGGCAAAAUUCCACGAAGCUACGAAGCAUUCAGUGAAUUUGCAUUGAUUCUGAAGAGAUAGUGAAUUUGAAUUUCUGCAACCUGCCAAAUUUAACUAUUUAAGAAUGAGGUCACAAUCAAAAAAAUGUUGUGCUGGUCAACCAAAAAGAUUAAUCAUAGGAUUGUGAGUCUAUAGUGCAAAAUUGGAAAUAAUAAGCAGUACACAUCCCAAUUUCAAAUUCCUAGCAAUGCUUUUCAUGUAACAUUUUCAUAGAGUACAUAUGAGCCCAUAAAGACAUCUUACCAUAUGUCAUGAUUAUUAACUAUGAACAAGAAACUAAAACCAACCUUCUGACAAAUACGGCAUCGCCGCAUUACAAACGAUGGCCGAGCUAAAAUUAAAAACAUGAGAAAGUAAAAAAUACAUGUAUGCUAUUGGUAGUACCAUCAAUCCAGAACAAGAUCAUAAUUUUUUUUCAAAAAUAUAUAUGGCCACAAAGAAAAAGAAAAUGGUGAAUGCUCUAUAGAACACGAAACAUAUGCUCAAAAUAAAGAUCCGAGCUAACAAGAGAUGGGCUGAAUAGAUCAAGGGAAAAUCAGUUACACUCUUUGUUAGUGAUAUGGAUAUGUCUUAGUAUAUUGUUUUGUUAAUUAUUUGCAGGCCUAUAUAUUUGCAUGGAGUCCAUGUCCGGCUUCUGACGGCAUGUAAGUAGGCCAAAUGAAAUUGUCAUGUGGAAUGCAAUGUAUACAACUCACAUGCAUGCACAUUGUAUCCUUUCCCUUACCAGAUUCUAAACUGGACUAAAGCAUUAAUAAGAAUUCCUCUAGCUUACAUUACUUUGGGCAAUGGAGAGGGUUGUAGGUCGCUUCCUGUUGUAUUCCAUUAUCUUCUCAUCAGACACUUGGGCAUCCCAAUUUUGACCCCAAUUCAGUUGUUCUCGCAGAUUUUCACCUAGGGCAUUUGCAUCCCCAUGAUUAGGCGUGAUUGUCAGGUCCUUAAAUGGAGAACAUUCUUCUGAUCGUAAUGGAGAUGCAGGUGGAUGAUGAUUAUUCAUCUGUGUGAAGGACGAAAUGCUUCUCGGAAUUCUUAAAGAGGAAGACAAUGGAGCCAUGAUGUUGUUGUGCAACAGGCUAUGUUUUCUGUAAUACCAUUUGUCUUGGCUGUGUAUCUUACUUUGUGUGUGCUGGGAUACUCAAAAAGCUAUCUCUGUAAUUUAAAUCUGUGUUAUGUUGUCUGGCGUGUGUAACCUUAUUUUGUGUGUGCUGGGAUACUCAAAAAGAUAUCUGUCUAAUUUAAAUCUGUGUUAUGUUGU